RNAcentral lists this ribosomal RNA (484 nucleotides) under uncultured bacterium. RNAcentral describes it as "partial 16S ribosomal RNA". It matches the Rfam family "Bacterial small subunit ribosomal RNA", at positions 30 to 507 of the family's 1533-position model. The record is from RNAcentral.
AUUGAACGCUGGCGGCAGGCCUAACACAUGCAAGUCGAGCGGAUGAAGGGAGCUUGCUCCUGGAUUCAGCGGCGGACGGGUGAGUAAUGCCUAGGAAUCUGCCUGGUAGUGGGGGAUAACGUCCGGAAACGGUCGCUAAUACCGCAUACGUCCUGAGGGAGAAAGUGGGGGAUCUUCGGACCUCACGCUAUCAGAUGAGCCUAGGUCGGAUUAGCUAGUUGGUGGGGUAAAGGCCUACCAAGGCGACGAUCCGUAACUGGUCUGAGAGGAUGAUCAGUCACACUGGAACUGAGACACGGUCCAGACUCCUACGGGAGGCAGCAGUGGGGAAUAUUGGACAAUGGGCGAAAGCCUGAUCCAGCCAUGCCGCGUGUGUGAAGAAGGUCUUCGGAUUGUAAAGCACUUUAAGUUGGGAGGAAGGGCAGUAAGUUAAUACCUUGCUGUUUUGACGUUACCAACAGAAUAAGCACCGGCUAACUUCGUG